RNAcentral lists this ribosomal RNA (102 nucleotides) under Pediococcus pentosaceus. Lineage: Bacteria; Bacillati; Bacillota; Bacilli; Lactobacillales; Lactobacillaceae. The record is from RNAcentral.
GAGAAGGAUAUACCUGUUCCCAUGUCGAACACAGAAGUCAAGCUUCUUAACGCCGAGAGUAGUUGGGGGAUCGCCCCCUGCGAGGGUAGGACGUUGCCAUGC